This 552-nucleotide ribosomal RNA is filed under the name Tylothallia biformigera. Its description in RNAcentral is "SSU rRNA". It matches the Rfam family "Bacterial small subunit ribosomal RNA", at positions 370 to 925 of the family's 1533-position model. The record is from RNAcentral. Lineage: Eukaryota; Fungi; Ascomycota; Lecanoromycetes; Lecanorales; Ramalinaceae.
AAUAGCCUAACGGCUGAACCAGCAACUUGGAGGAAUAGAUUGCGAAAGCUAACUGCAUACCUUUAUGCAGGAUCAACUUCGUUGAAUAAAAUUCUGGGCAAUCGUUAUCAUGAAACGGUUUACCCAUGUGUCUUGACCAAAUUGCGUGCCAGCAGUCGCGGUAAUACGUAGAAGACUAGUGUUAUUCAUCUUUAAUAGGUUUAAAGAGUACCUAGACGGUAAAUCGAGCCCUAGCCGGGACUAAUUUGCUAGAGUUACUUAUGAGGGGGCUUUAAAGUACUAAUGGUGUAGAGAUAAAAUUUUGUAAUACCAUUUUUCGAAAGAAAAUUUAUGGCACUGGUAAAGGUGAAGGCAUCCCCCUAUGUGAUAACUGACGUUGAAGGACGAAGGCUUUGGGUCGCGAAUAGGAUUAGAUACCCUAGUAGUCAAAGCAGAAAAUUAUGAGUGUCAUAGAUUAGACGACCAGGUUUACUCUAUAAAUGAAAGUGUAAGCACUCCACCUCAAGAGUAAUAUGGCAACAUCGGAACUGAAAUCAUUAGACCGUUUCUGAA